AGCGGCAGGCCUAACACAUGCAAGUCGAGGGGUAACAUUUCUAGCUUGCUAGAAGAUGACGACCGGCGCACGGGUGCGCAACGCGUAUACAAUCUGCCCCCUACUGUGGGAUAGCCCAGAGAAAUUUGGAUUAACACCACAUGGUACCCUAUUGCGGCAUCGCAUUUAGGGUUAAAGGUUACGGUAGGGGAUGAGUAUGCGUCCCAUUAGCUAGAUGGUAAGGUAACGGCUUACCAUUGCUACGAUGGGUAGGGGCCCUGAGAGGGGGAUCCCCCACACUGGUACUGAGACACGGACCAGACUCCUACGGGAGGCAGCAGUGAGGAAUAUUGGACAAUGGGCGGGAGCCUGAUCCAGCCAUGCCGCGUGC
Molecule: ribosomal RNA, 370 nt
Filed under: uncultured Bacteroidota bacterium
Lineage: Bacteria; Pseudomonadati; Bacteroidota
Description: bacterial SSU rRNA
Rfam family: Bacterial small subunit ribosomal RNA
Source: RNAcentral